Molecule: long non-coding RNA, 977 nt
Organism: Sciurus carolinensis (gray squirrel)
Lineage: Eukaryota; Metazoa; Chordata; Mammalia; Rodentia; Sciuridae
Exons: 3
Source: RefSeq, a predicted model, not a curated record
GGGACAUGUCGUUCUGUUGGCUUUCUGGGCAGAAGGGAUCAGAGUUUAAAUGCUGCUGCCCUCCACCACAGGAGCCAGCGAAGGAGAGCAGCAGGGGCUUCGGGAACCGUAAUUAACUGGUGGACAAGAGGAAUAAAGGGCAUUUGGCGUAAAGCGGAAAUGAGGAAAGCUCUGCUCUGAUGGGCUUGGCAUCAUCAAGUCUGACCAUGAGCCAUGCUCGUGCCCACCAGGCCGGGUUACUUUAGGAUGGAGAGGAGACACCCUUUCUGGCCCCUGUGAUGUUAGCCAAGAUCAAUGCAGUGAAGGAAAGCAUCUGGGUCCUUCUUUCAGAAAUCUUGCUCCAAAAGCGUCUGUCACACAAAAGCAAGAGAAAUUCAUCAGUUUGCCUCAACUCCCACAUCUGGGAAGGAGUAAUAUCAGGAUUUGAACCCAGGUCCAUCUGACUCCAAAACUUGAACUGCGGUGUGUCAGAGAAGACACUGCUGCCCAGAAGGUUCUGAGACAGAACCGAAAAUGAAUACGAUGCUCCGAGAACAAUUAGAAUGAGCCAUUGCUAAAUUGCCUUAUGAUGACAUGGUGUGACUUGCAAUGACAUACAACAGGGAAGGACACUGGCGUUCUGAGUGUGUGUGGGCAAGGAUUUGACUUUAAAGUUGGACGAAACUGCAAAGCACACAAAAUACAGGGUACACAACAGUGCUUGGCUGUGCUACGUGUGUUGUGUGUUGUGUGAGUCGAAGGUGUUGGUUGUGCGUCCAGUGGUAAGUGCUCUGUGUGUGGAUGCGUGUGACAUGGACGCAUGAGGCUGGACGGGGACUGAUUGAUUCAGGACUGUAGACCAGGCAUUCUAGUGGCCCACUCGGUGCGUCCCGCGAGCUGGCCAUUCCUCUCAGGGUCUCGCGUAUGAACAACUCACUCAUCUUCACAAUCACUCCGUGCAGUUGCUGUAAUAGUGUCUUUAUUUCAUGGAUGGGGAA